CGGCCGCGCAGCCUCCCCGGGGCGCGCUUUCGGGAGCAUCCCGGGCGCCACCAGCCCCGAGGGCCGAGCGCUGCUUCGCCUCCUGCCUAGAGGGCGUGAGGCCGGCCCGGGGCGGAGACCCUCGUUUCCUCCCGGGCCAGGGCACUGGCUCCCGGCGCUGCCUCUGCGCCCCACGGGCGUCAGCCCCCGCCACCGCCCACCGAGUAGGGUUUCGCUUCCAGCACUGAUCCCUGGGCAGAAGCUCCGUGGCUCCCCUUUCUUCCUGGUCUGAUACUAACUUGGCCCUGUGGCGCCCAGGCCUUUCCAGAGAGCCCAGAGAGGGGGUUCCGGUCUCAGAGCCUCCAGUAGAGUGAGGGACGUAGCCCAGUGACGGGAAGUCUCCCAAGCCGAGCUCCUCCAUUACAAACCCAAAGUGAGCAGAAGUUGGCCAAGUCUCCACCAACUCUCAAACCUGUAGGCCUCGGUUUUCAGCAUCUACACGUCCCUACGUACUUUCAUUUCUUGACUUUGGAGAGGCUUUCGCGGUUGCAGGGGCGGGUCGGAGGAGACCUUCCCUGGGCAGGCGCACACCACGCCCAAGGCUGGGUCAAGUGGAAAGUGGUGCCCUAAGAUCUUUCUCAUCCCAGACGGUGAUUCUGCAGGUGGCUUGAGCGAGGAGAAACCCCUCCAUCCCCCUCAGGCCCCACCCCUGGACAAAGCCCCUGUGCUGCCUGUCCUGCCACCUGCCAGUCCCCCUCCCAAGCCAUUUCUCAGUCCCGGUGACUUCUGCUCCCUGAUUUUCCUGUUCCUUCUUCACCAAAAUUCGCCUGUCCUGUGUUCCAUUAUCUCAUCGCCUUGCUCUCUGCUCACGUGAGAAGGAAUGAUAAAUUGGUGUUGGCAGAUUAACGUGUUGCUCCCUCUAGGUAACAGAUUUGCGUUUAACAAGGACACACUGACCGCACCUUCAUGCAGAAGAGCGACAAAUGGUGGUGGGAAAUGCACGCAUCGUGGCAGGCUGGCGAAGGAGCAGGUGCCACUUGUGCCCCGCCCACAUUCCAGGUACAUUCACCUCUACAUGCUAAAGGAUGGUAACGGAUUGGGUCUUGUCCAGGCUUAUCAGAGAAAGCAGACGCUCGGGGAGGUGAUGCUGAGGGGCUGCUGAAGACCCAGGAAAAAGAGGCACACAACUACUCUGUACAUGCUCUUUUGCACACAGCUCACACCUGCGUGCAUGGACCAGCCAAGAUCCUGGAUAACCGGAUGCCCCUCCCCCAGGAUGUCACGUCACCAGGAUCUCACACGGGGCCAGGCCAGAGGAGAAGCCCCAGCCCCACUCAACUGGAGCUGGUCCUGGAGCCUGAAUCCUGCCAGAAACCAAAAAAAAAAAAAAGAGGUCCCACCCACAAUAGGUCUACACCCACAGGAGUGGAUGAGCUUUAAGAAUGUGAUUUUCCGGGGUCCGUAAAGCCUCCAAGCCAUCACAGGGGGUGACGCUGAGUUCAGACCCAACUGAAGAGAAGGAGACACAGGCACGGACCUGGGGAGGAGAGAUCCAAGCAGCAGGACCAGCACGUGCGGGGCCUGGGCACGAGGCUGAAAGACGCUCAGUCCAUGGCCUCCGCGUGGCUGCAGGACCCAGCGCAUUGGUCAAACAUCGAUCUAGGCGUUGCUCUGGAGGGUCACGUCUACGAUCCGUUGUCUUUAAAUUAAGGAGAUUACCCUCGACAUGUUGAGCAGGCCCCAUCCGAUCAGCCGGAAGUUCUUAAGAGAAAAACCGGGAGUUCCUGGAGAGGAAAUUCUGCCUCGAGACUGAGGCAGAAAAUCCUACCUGAGUUUCCAGCCUGCAGGCCUGCCUGGCAAACUUCAGACUUGCCAUCCCCCA
Choloepus didactylus (southern two-toed sloth) is the source of this 1861-nucleotide long non-coding RNA. RefSeq lists it as uncharacterized. The transcript has 5 exons. NCBI's taxonomy places the organism in Eukaryota, Metazoa, Chordata, Mammalia, Pilosa, Megalonychidae. The record is from RefSeq and is a predicted model, not a curated record.